AGAACCAUUAAAAUAUGAAUGGGAGCAGUGAUAACUUAUCAACAUCUUAUGGUAUCAAUCCAGCUAACUAUCACCAAGGUCUCCAAAUGCCCGCAUUAAUGAACUGAGUUCUGCCCCCAUGACAAUCAACAGAGCCAAUUCUGUUUUGUCAGGGAAAGCUCCGGACCUCCAGUACUCUGGUAACAAAUGCACCAAAUCGACCCCCCUGAAGACUGUCGGUCCAAGCAUUUGGGAGUUUACCCCUAUUUGAAAACAUCGACAAUGCCUAUUAUUGCUCCCUGAUGUUUGCAUAAGGAGUUGGCAACAUACGGGUGUCAACAAGGGGUAAACGAAAGAGACAGCAGUAACUUGAUCAGUAGGAAUUGUUUCUUAUAACCAAAUACUAAGAUCUUUUCUUCAACUCCUAUGAUCAAAAUUUGAAUGACUACCAAUACAUGUCCAGCCUGACGACCACAACUGCUGAUACAAAAUAUGUAGGGUACUACAAGCAGCUGGAUACCAGUAGUACAUAAAUUAACAGUAGACAAGGUAUCCUGUGUAUCAACUUCUUAUUUACAUUUAGGGUUGCCAGGAUAAUUGUUAAAAACUAGGUAUGUACAUAUCAAAAUAAGCAAAAGCCAGACUAUGACCAGGCUGAUAAUGUGUAUACUGUGUAUAGAUAAGUCACCAUAAAUUGGCGCCAAAAAAGGGUCGAAACUGCAAAAUACAGAAGCUGCAUCUAUAUGGAGAGACCAGCCAUCCAGAAGUUAAAAGAGACUUAAUAUGGCAGGUAACAACCUUCAGUACAGAAGCUGCAUCUAUAUGGAGAGACUAGCCAUCCAGAAGUUAAAAGAGACUUAAUAUGGCAGGUAACAACCUUCAGAAAUCCCCCAAAAAGCAACAGCUGAGUGGAUGUAGUCUUUUCUGCAGAUACUAUAAACCUGUCAAAUUAAAUCAAAAGUUGUCAAGUUACUAGAAACUGCAGAAUGGCAACUGUCACCCCACAUACCCAGGGCAAAAAUAAUAGUAAUAGUAAAGCAGCAGCAAAUAGAGAGCCAAUGGAGAUCUUC
This 1049-nucleotide long non-coding RNA is filed under the name Nicotiana benthamiana. RNAcentral's name for it is "long non-coding RNA (NBEN_LNC006645)". Lineage: Eukaryota; Viridiplantae; Streptophyta; Magnoliopsida; Solanales; Solanaceae. The record is from RNAcentral.